This is a long non-coding RNA of Centruroides sculpturatus (bark scorpion), 543 nucleotides long. RefSeq lists it as uncharacterized. Lineage: Eukaryota; Metazoa; Arthropoda; Arachnida; Scorpiones; Buthidae. The transcript is spliced from 4 exons. The record is from RefSeq and is a predicted model, not a curated record.
AAUUACUUAGAGGUCGCUUCAUUCCUUAUGUCUGCGUGCUUCACGGUGUGUUUGCUGUGUGUUUUAGUUUAGACGUGUGAGAAGCAGAUUUUAUAUUUUCUUGAAAUAAAAAAUGUCCGGAAGGCAAGGAGGAAAAAAGAAACCAUUAAAACAAGGCAAGAAAGAAAGAUCUGAAGAGGAUGAGCAAGAUGCACAAUUUAAACAAAAACUAAAGGAAGACCAAAAAGCUUUGAAAGAAGCUGCAGCGAAAGCAUCUCAGAAAGGACCAAUGGGAGUUGGUGGUAUAAAGAAAUCUGGGAAAAAGAAAUGACCUUUGUUAAAUUAGUACCUUUUCAAAUAUUAAAUAAAUAAAAAUUUGUUUGGAUAUCUUUUUAAAUUAGAUGUUAAGUCAUUUUUGCGAAUGAUUUUGUAUGCUGUGAUUUUUUUUCUUUUUUUAACUUCUACAGAUAUCCUGUACUUUAUGUGGCCUUGCCAAUUAUAUAAAUUGGAUUGUUAACUCAUUCUAAUUUUGUACAUUAAAUACCAGUUUAUUUAUAAUCACAU